GUCGAACGAGUUUCGUUUGGUAGCAAUACUGAGCGAAGCUAGUGGCGAACGGGUGCGUAACACAUGAGUCAUCUGCCCAAAAGUGGGGAAUAGCUCGGCGAAAGCCGGAUUAAUACCGCAUGUGGUCGUAAGACCAAAGCCGGGGCAACCUGGCGCUUUUGGAGGAGCUCGUGGCCUAUCAGCUAGUUGGUGAGGUAACGGCUUACCAAGGCAACGACGGGUAGCUGGUCUGAGAGGACGACCAGCCACACUGGAACUGAGAUACGGUCCAGACACCUACGGGUGGCAGCAGUCGAGAAUUUUUCUCAAUGGGGGAAACCCUGAAGGAGCGACGCCGCGUGGAGGAUGAAUGCUUUCGGGUUGUAAACUCCUGUCAUUUGGGAACAAGGCCUUACGUUAACUGCGUGGAGGAUUGAUAGUACCAGAAGAGGAAGAGACGGCUAACUCUGUGCCAGCAGCCGCGGUAAUACAGAGGUCUCGAGCGUUGUUCGGAUUCAUUGGGCGUAAAGGGCGCGUAGGCGGCGGGGUAAGUCUGGUGUGAAAUCUAGGAGCUCAACUCCUAAACUGCACUGGAUACUGCUCUGCUAGAGGACUGGAGAGGAGACUGGAAUUCACGGUGUAGCAGUGAAAUGCGUAGAUAUCGUGAGGAAGACCAGUGGCGAAGGCGGGUCUCUGGACAGUUCCUGACGCUGAGGCGCGAAGGCCAGGGGAGCAAACGGGAUUAGAUACCCCGGUAGUCCUGGCAGU
This 747-nucleotide ribosomal RNA is filed under the name uncultured Verrucomicrobiota bacterium. RNAcentral describes it as "bacterial SSU rRNA". It matches the Rfam family "Bacterial small subunit ribosomal RNA", at positions 61 to 803 of the family's 1533-position model. Lineage: Bacteria; Pseudomonadati; Verrucomicrobiota. The record is from RNAcentral.